RNAcentral lists this ribosomal RNA (254 nucleotides) under uncultured bacterium. RNAcentral describes it as "partial 16S ribosomal RNA". It matches the Rfam family "Bacterial small subunit ribosomal RNA", at positions 524 to 776 of the family's 1533-position model. The record is from RNAcentral.
UACAGAGGGGGGCAAGCGUUGUUCGGAAUUACUGGGCGUAAAGGGCGCGUAGGUGGCCUUCUAAGUUGAACGUGAAAUCCCUGGGCUCAACCCAGGAACUGCGUCCAAGACUGGGAGGCUUGAAUCCGGGAGAGGGAUGCGGAAUUCCAGGUGUAGCGGUGAAAUGCGUAGAUAUCUGGAGGAACACCGGUGGCGAAGGCGGCAUCCUGGACCGGUAUUGACACUGAGGCGCGAAAGCCAGGGGAGCAAACGGG